AUGAACGCUGGCGGCGUGCCUAAUACAUGCCAGUCGAGCGAACGGACGAGAAGCUUGCUUCUCUGAUGUUAGCGGCGGACGGGUGAGUAACACGUGGAUAACCUACCUAUAAGACUGGGAUAACUUCGGGAAACCGGAGCUAAUACCGGAUGAUAUUUUGAACCGCAUGGUUCAAAAGUGAAAGACGGUCUUGCUGUCACUUAUAGAUGGAUCCGCGCUGCAUUAGCUAGUUGGUAAGGUAACGGCUUACCAAGGCAACGAUGCAUAGCCGACCUGAGAGGGUGAUCGGCCACACUGGAACUGAGACACGGUCCAGACUCCUACGGGAGGCAGCAGUAGGGAAUCUUCCGCAAUGGGCGAAAGCCUGACGGAGCAACGCCGCGUGAGUGAUGAAGGUCUUCGGAUCGUAAAACUCUGUUAUUAGGGAAGAACAUAUGUGUAAGUAACUGUGCACAUCUUGACGGUACCUAAUCAGAAAGCCACGGCUAACUACG
This 494-nucleotide ribosomal RNA is filed under the name uncultured bacterium. RNAcentral's name for it is "partial 16S ribosomal RNA". It matches the Rfam family "Bacterial small subunit ribosomal RNA", at positions 29 to 505 of the family's 1533-position model. The record is from RNAcentral.